UCGGCGUAUUUUGGAAAAUAUUCUGCAUUGCAAUAUUUCAAUUAAUGAAAAAUAACUGUCCUUUGUUCCAACCAUAAAUUAGGUUGAAAUGUUCAAGAUGAAAAAUGAAUAUUUAGAAAUGUUUAAUUACAAUCAUGCUAUUUGGGUUAGUACCAGUGACUUGUUACGUAACGACUUUGCUAGUACUUUUUGAAGCAUAAAGUUAGAUUUUAACUAACUUUAAUUUUUAACUACUAUAGGUGGAAUUAUAAAUACAAAAUAAUUGAUAAUACUAGUUUAUAAGUACCUAAUUAUUAGUAUCUUAAAAAAUAUAUUUAUACAAAAAUCACGAUAAUCAUAAAAGUGGGGAAAUUCUAUAUUCUCGAGUCAAUUCA
This 374-nucleotide unclassified non-coding RNA is filed under the name Bombus terrestris (buff-tailed bumblebee). Its description in RNAcentral is "misc RNA ENSBTSG00005028772.1". Lineage: Eukaryota; Metazoa; Arthropoda; Insecta; Hymenoptera; Apidae. The record is from RNAcentral.